Molecule: ribosomal RNA, 253 nt
Filed under: uncultured bacterium
Lineage: Bacteria
Description: partial 16S ribosomal RNA
Rfam family: Bacterial small subunit ribosomal RNA
Source: RNAcentral
UACAGAGGUCUCGAGCGUUAGGCGGAAUCACUGGGCUUAAAGCGUGUGUAGGCGGAUCGGUAAGUACCUUGUGAAAUCCCACAGCUUAACUGUGGAACCGCUUGGUAUACUGCCAGUCUUGAGCCACUUAGGGGCUACCGGAACAAAUGGUGGAGCGGUGAAAUGCGUAGAUAUCAUUUGGAACGCCAAUGGUGAAAACAGGUAGCUGGGAGUGUGCUGACGCUGAGACACGAAAGCCAGGGGAGCAAACGGG